Long non-coding RNA from Oncorhynchus keta (chum salmon), 355 nucleotides. RefSeq lists it as uncharacterized. Lineage: Eukaryota; Metazoa; Chordata; Actinopteri; Salmoniformes; Salmonidae. The transcript has 3 exons. The record is from RefSeq and is a predicted model, not a curated record.
UGGAAAUAAACAUAGCUGAACACAUACAGGAGCUGUAUCUUUAGGUAUCCUGUGGAAAUAAACAUAGCUGAACACAUACAGGAGCUGUAUCUUUAGGUAUCCUGUGGAAAUAAACAUAGCUGAACACAUACAGGAGCUGUAUCUUUAGGUAUCCUGUGGAAAUAAACAUAGCUGAACACAUACAGGAGCUGUAUCUUUAGGUAUCCUGUGGAAAUAAACAUAGCUGAACACAUACAGGAGCUGUAUCUUUAGGUAUCCUGUGGAAAUAAACAUAGCUGAACACAUACAGGAGCUGUAUCUUUAGGUAUCCUGUGGAAAUAAACAUAGCUGAACACAUACAGGAGCUGUAUCUUUA